AAUGGGCGAAAGCCUGAUCCAGCCAUGCCGCGUGAGUGAAGAAGGCCUUCGGGUUGUAAAGCUCUUUCGGUCGAGAAGAAAUGUCUAUAACUAAUAUUUAUAGAAGAUGACGGUAUCGAUAUAAGAAGCACCGGCUAACUACGUGCCAGCAGCCGCGGUAAUACGUAGGGUGCAAGCGUUAAUCGGAAUUAUUGGGCGUAAAGGGUGCGCAGGCUGUGCUGUAAGUCAGAUGUGAAAUCCCCGGGCUUAACCUGGGAAUUGCGUUUGAAACUGCAGCGCUAGAGUGUGGUAGAGGAGAGUGGAAUUCCAUGUGUAGCAGUGAAAUGCGUAGAGAUGUGGAAGAACACCAAUGGCGAAGGCAGCUCUCUGGAUUAACACUGACGCUCAUGCACGAAAGCGUGGGGAGCAAA
This 410-nucleotide ribosomal RNA is filed under the name uncultured bacterium. RNAcentral's name for it is "bacterial SSU rRNA". It matches the Rfam family "Bacterial small subunit ribosomal RNA", at positions 370 to 772 of the family's 1533-position model. The record is from RNAcentral.